Molecule: non-coding RNA, 2111 nt
Organism: Carica papaya (papaya)
Lineage: Eukaryota; Viridiplantae; Streptophyta; Magnoliopsida; Brassicales; Caricaceae
Source: RefSeq, a predicted model, not a curated record
UUUGAACAUUAAAAAAAAGUAGAAGAGCCAUUAUGGUAUUUUAGCGAGGGGAAAUUAUGUUAAGGAAUCAAUCCAAUGGUUCGCACCUAAAUCCGAUAGGGGGAGAUAGCGCCUCUGUUUAGUGUUUAUUUACCUCUUCAGUUCACUUCGUUCUGGGCUUCUUCAUUUUCCCUUUGCCACGGACAUCCCCCGAAAGCAAAACCUGCAAAAACUUUCUUCCAUACCUCUCGAUUUGAAUGGAUCCUCUCUCGGUGCUCCGGGACUUCACGAUUCGCGGCGAGCUAGACAAGAUAGUUCGGGUCAAUGAUGAGUAUCGAUUCGGCUCCGAGUACGUAUUUCCUUGUAGCGCCGAGACAGCGUAUCGAUCCAAGCAAGGCAAUCUCUACACAUUGGAGGCCUUGGUUCACUAUGUCCAGAAUCAGCACCUCAAGCACGGCGAGUACAUGCACUACACCGUCAAGAACAGUGUCCCCGCCGUCACCCUCCCCGACCGUAAGCCCCUGCUCGAUUAUCUCACCGGCAAGGUGGCCUCAUCCGAUUCCAUUGAGUUCCUUCUUCCCCAGCAACAUCCCCCUCAAUCAAACCAACAGCCCCACUAUCAUAAUUCCUUACCUGCUAUAUCAGCACCAGCAGCUGAUGAGUAUCGCCCAGAUGACGAUUCCAUGUUUCCCGUGGCUCCCAGCUUGAUGGAGAACAUUGGUUCGGCUAAUUCUGUUGAACUCUCGACCUACAUACCAGCGAUCAAGUCUGUGGAAAAACCAUUGAAGAACCGGGAGGCCAUUUUGGAGUGCAGGAACAGGGAUUUCUAUAGCGUGUUUGUAGCUUCGACGAGGAGAGAAGAGGAGCGGCAGAGGAUCGAGUCGCAGCAGAGGAAAGAUGGGCUUGUGGCGAAGAGCAGGUUAAUGGGUGCGGAUGAGAGGGGCUUAGGUUACGGUGGUGGGGAUGAUAUUGGAUAUGAUGCGACUCCAAAACCUAAGCUUCACCUGAAGGGAGGCAAGAUUGGGGAAGGAGUGCCGAUAAUUCUGGUGCCCAGCGCGUUCCAGACGUUGAUCACCAUAUACAAUGUGAAGGAGUUCUUGGAGGAUGGGAUAUACAUUCCAACUGAUUUGAAGGUGAAACAGAUGAAGGGGGUUAGGCCGGACUGCGUCACCGUGCAGAAGAAGUUCAGUAGGGACAGGGAGAGGGUCGUGACGGCCUAUGAGGUAAGAGAUAAGCCGUCUGCGCUCAAGCCCGAGGACUGGGACAGGGUGGUGGCCGUUUUCGUUUUGGGCAAGGAGUGGCAGUUCAAAGAUUGGCCAUUCAAGGACCAUGUUGAGAUUUUCAAUAAGAUUAUUGGAUUUUACAUGCGGUUUGAAGAUGACAGUUUGGAAUCAGCAAAGAAUGUGAAGCAGUGGAAUGUAAAGAUAAUCUCGAUUAGCAAGAACAAGAGACACCAGGACAGAGCUGCUGCACUGGAGGUCUGGGAAAAACUUGAAGAAUUUGUGCGGUCACGUUCGCAUUCUUAGAGACUGCAGCUCGUUGUAAGAAAUAUGUAUAUCAUGCCAAAGCCCGUCAAACUGGAUAUUAUAUGGUGCUGUGCUAUGUUAAUGAUUUCUCAUCUCUUUUGUGGGCUUAGUUGAUGGAAAUGAAUAGGGGGGGGCUGAUUUGAGCUUUAUAAUGUUAUCUGGAUGCUCUUGCCACAUUGAAUUAAAAAUACUGCUUAAGUUAAUACUUUCUGGAACAAGGAUGGAGGUGGAAACUAUGGCCUACAGCAAUGUGCAUGUAUAAGGUUCAGGGCAAAGAGGAUGCCUUCCACAACACACAAUAUGCAUGUAUCAAACCGUGGUCUGUUUCAGCUGUCAGCUUCAAAAACUCUGCUGGAAUGUGUUCUAUGUUCAGAGUACAGAUUUUGGCUUCCAGCAUGAUAUGAGGUCGGUUCUUAAGAUACUUUUUCUCCAUUGUGGGUUGAUGUUAAUUUCUGCUAGAGAAUUUAGGAAAUCAGCAAGCUUUGAUACAUAAAAUUUUAUGUUCUUGUAUAUGAAUUAACAGAAAGAACUUGUUUAGCAGUGCGACUCCUUAUUUUGUUCGGUAUACAUGCUAAAGCCUGGUGGAAUGGUGUUUGUUUCUUCUCA